UGUUCUUAUUCGCUGACAUUUGUUUUCCAAUUGCGUGAAAUUUGGUCAUUUCCUUAGUGUUUCGCUGACCGACCUGUGCUGGUAUUGUGAUUAAGAGCUAAUACACAUUUUUCGGACGAUUCUGCUGUGCUGCGUUACUGCUCCGCCUGUAUAU
Long non-coding RNA from Rhagoletis pomonella (apple maggot), 154 nucleotides. RefSeq lists it as uncharacterized. The transcript is spliced from 3 exons. The record is from RefSeq and is a predicted model, not a curated record. NCBI's taxonomy places the organism in Eukaryota, Metazoa, Arthropoda, Insecta, Diptera, Tephritidae.